RNAcentral lists this ribosomal RNA (253 nucleotides) under uncultured bacterium. Its description in RNAcentral is "partial 16S ribosomal RNA". It matches the Rfam family "Bacterial small subunit ribosomal RNA", at positions 524 to 776 of the family's 1533-position model. The record is from RNAcentral.
UACGGGGGGGGCAAGCGUUGUUCGGAAUUACUGGGCGUAAAGGGCUCGUAGGCGGCCAACUAAGUCAGACGUGAAAUCCCUCGGCUUAACCGGGGAACUGCGUCUGAUACUGGGUGGCUUGAGAUUGGGAGAGGGAUGCGGAAUUCCAGGUGUAGCGGUGAAAUGCGUAGAUAUCUGGAGGAACACCGGUGGCGAAGGCGGCAUCCUGGACCAACACUGACGCUGAGGAGCGAAAGCCAGGGGAGCAAACGGG